RNAcentral lists this ribosomal RNA (374 nucleotides) under Agathiphaga queenslandensis (kauri moth). RNAcentral describes it as "SSU rRNA". It matches the Rfam family "Eukaryotic small subunit ribosomal RNA", at positions 1419 to 1795 of the family's 1831-position model. Lineage: Eukaryota; Metazoa; Arthropoda; Insecta; Lepidoptera; Agathiphagidae. The record is from RNAcentral.
ACCGGCGCCUUUGAGGCGCACGAGAUUGAGCAAUAACAGGUCUGUGAUGCCCUUAGAUGUCCUGGGCCGCACGCGCGCUACACUGAAGGAAUCAGCAUGUCUUCCUUGGCCUAGAGGCUCAGGAAACCCGUUGAAUCUCCUUCGUGCUGGGGAUUGGGGUUUGCAAUUGUCCCCCAUAAACGAGGAAUUCCUAGUAAGCGCGAGUCAUAAGCUCGCGUUGAUUACGUCCCUGCCCUUUGUACACACCGCCCGUCGCUACUACCGAUUGAAUGAUUUAGUGAGGUCUUCGGACCGACACGCGGUGGCUUUCCGGCCGUCGGCGUUGUUGGGAAGUUGACCAAACUUGAUCAUUUAGAGGAAGUAAAAGUCGUAAC